Caretta caretta (loggerhead turtle) is the source of this 1446-nucleotide long non-coding RNA. RefSeq lists it as uncharacterized. Lineage: Eukaryota; Metazoa; Chordata; Testudines; Cheloniidae. The record is from RefSeq and is a predicted model, not a curated record.
GGAGUGUCCGCCCGGCCCUCCCCGCGCCCCUGCUCAGCGCCACAGGAUGGGACCCGGGCUCGGGAAGGGCGAAGGUAUCAAGUAGCACUGGCCCCUUUUUGUGAGCGCGAGUGUAAUCAGAGUGGUUGUCUAAUCCCAAAUUGCAGGCGCAUUUUCUGAACGCUCAGCCCAUAAAAGCCCUGGAUUAAGGGGAGGCAGGGGGCACAAGGCAGAGAGCGAGCGAGCGAGAGAAAAGUUUGGCGCAGCGUGCAGCGCGGAGGACCCGGGGCUGCCGCCUGGCGCGCACACUGCGCUGGCGGAGAAGGAGCAGCGGCGGCGGAGGCGGAGGGGGGGAGCCAGGUUGCCCUGUCCCGCGAGGAGCCACCUCCAGGGACCGCGCUGGACGGGGCCGGCCGUGCCCCCAAAGGGCCCCGCUCGGGACGGGGCGCCGGCGGAAGGCUCCUGGAUUCUGCCCCAGACCCCAGGGCCCCCAGCUCGGACUCCCUCUGCUUGUACCCAGGGGGAAGCGCUAGCUUGUGCGCACAGCCCAAUGGAUCUGGAAUCCACACAGGAAGAAGAGUGGACUAAUCAGGGACAAGGCUGAUGGGGACACAUAUUGGCUCCCUAUGGCUCCAUGUUGUUUAAACAGAAAAGGAAUCAAGGAGAAUUCUCUCACAUCACCAUAUUCUUCUUUCAUUGUUUGGCUUGAGUGGUGAAGGAUGCAUGUUCUAUUCUUCUCUUCACUUGACAUCUACCAGAUCCCUCCUCAGUGAUUAGGAAUGAUCAUGAUACCAAGAUUGGAACAGUUAAGGCCCGAAUUCCACCCUCAGAAACAUACAGGCAAUUCCCAUUGACUUAAGUUUUGGUUCUGCAGUGCACUGUAAUAUCUCCUGAAUGAGACUGAAUAAAGGCUGUAGCAAAAAGUUCAAUGAUUUUGUCCAACAAGCCAGGAUUUGGAUGACCCUCUCUUCCCUCCCCCCCCGCCCUCCGCAAAAUGGCUUACAUCUUUUGGUUAAUCUCAUGCACCAAAUUAUUAUUUCAAUUGCUGCUAUUUAAUAAUGAUUGAGGCCUUUUUCUUCUUUCAUCUGUACCAUUUCUGAACUACAAAUCCAUUAAAAUUUUUGGAGGACAGUACAAAUGAAUAAGCAGUAUACUUUUAUGUUGUAGAACUUGAACAUGGGUUUAUAAAAUAUCAUUUCCAUUAAAUACUACAGGGGUUACUAAUGGGUAACUCAUAUGCUGAUUCCUUGUUAAACAUUUUAAUAAAUAGUAGUCUGAUAAAUGAUUAGGCUGAAUCAAUUUGAAAGCACCAGUUUUUCCCUGCUAAACAAACAAACAAACAAAAUCCCAAACCAAACACUUCAAUAUCAUCCAGUGAAUAGCACAUAUAUGUACCAUGUAGCUUAUAACCAUUUAAACCUUUUGGGCAGUAAGACAUUUAGAUAAACCAAACAUGGAUUAACGUAG